UUGAACGCUGGCGGCAUGCCUUACACAUGCAAGUCGAACGGCAGCACGGGUGCUUGCACCUGGUGGAGAGUGGCGAACGGGUGAGUAAUACAUCGGAACAUGUCCUGUAGUGGGGGAUAGCCCGGCGAAAGCCGGAUUAAUACCGCAUACGAUCUACGGAUGAAAGCGGGGGACCUUCGGGCCUCGCGCUAUAGGGUUGGCCGAUGGCUGAUUAGCUAGUUGGUGGGGUAAAGGCCUACCAAGGCGACGAUCAGUAGCUGGUCUGAGAGGACGACCAGCCACACUGGGACUGAGACACGGCCCAGACUCCUACGGGAGGCAGCAGUGGGGAAUUUUGGACAAUGGGCGAAAGCCUGAUCCAGCAAUGCCGCGUGUGUGAAGAAGGCCUUCGGGUUGUAAAGCACUUUUGUCCGGAAAGAAAUCCUUGGCCCUAAUACGGUCGGGGGAUGACGGUACCGGAAGAAUAAGCACCGGCUAACUACGUG
This 485-nucleotide ribosomal RNA is filed under the name uncultured bacterium. RNAcentral's name for it is "partial 16S ribosomal RNA". It matches the Rfam family "Bacterial small subunit ribosomal RNA", at positions 30 to 507 of the family's 1533-position model. The record is from RNAcentral.